UGGAAACUNUCUGACUUGAGUGCAGAAGGGGAGAGUGGAAUUCCAUGUGUAGCGGUGAAAUGCGUAGAUAUAUGGAGGAACACCAGUGGCGAAAGCGGCUCUCUGNUCUGUCACUGACGCUGAGGCUCGAAAGCGUGGGUAGCGAACAGGAUUAGAUACCCUGGUAGUCCACGCCGUAAACGAUGAGUGCUAGGUGUUAGGCCCUUUCCGGGGCUUAGUGCCGGAGUUAACGCAAUAAGCACUCCGCCUGGGGAGUACGACCGCAAGGUUGAAACUCAAAGGAAUUGACGGGGGCCCGCACAAGCGGUGGAGCAUGUGGUUUAAUUCGAAGCAACGCGAAGAACCUUACCAGGUCUUGACAUCCCGAUGCUAUUCUUAGAGAUAGGAAGUUACUUCGGUACAUCGGAGACAGGUGGUGCAUGGUUGUCGUCAGCUCGUGUCGUGAGAUGUUGGGUUAAGUCCCGCAACGAGCGCAACCCUUAUUGUUAGUUGCCAUCAUUAAGUUGGGCACUCUAGCGAGACUGCCGGUAAUAAACCGGAGGAAGGUGGGGAUGACGUCAAAUCAUCAUGCCCCUUAUGACCUGGGCUACACACGUGCUACAGUGGUCGGUACAACGAGUUGCGAGCCGGUGACGGCAAGCUAAUCUCUGAAAGCCGAUCUCAGUUCGGAUUGGAGGCUGCAACUCGCCUCCAUGAAGUCGGAAUCGCUAGUAAUCGCGGAUCAGCACGCCGCGGUGAAUACGUUCCCGGGCCUUGUACACACCGCCCGUCACACCACGAGAGUUUGUAACACCCGAAGUCGGUGAGG
This 808-nucleotide ribosomal RNA is filed under the name uncultured bacterium. RNAcentral describes it as "bacterial SSU rRNA". It matches the Rfam family "Bacterial small subunit ribosomal RNA", at positions 627 to 1435 of the family's 1533-position model. The record is from RNAcentral.